UCCCCCAUAGCUCAAUUGGCAGAGCGAGCGGCUGUUAACCGCUAGGUUGUUGGUUCGAGUCCAACUGGGGGAG
This 73-nucleotide transfer RNA is filed under the name Planctomycetota bacterium. Its description in RNAcentral is "Planctomycetes bacterium (bioreactor metagenome) tRNA-Asn". It matches the Rfam family "tRNA". From Rfam's summary of the family: Transfer RNA (tRNA) molecules are approximately 80 nucleotides in length. Their secondary structure includes four short double-helical elements and three loops (D, anti-codon, and T loops). Further hydrogen bonds mediate the characteristic L-shaped molecular structure. tRNAs have two regions of fundamental functional importance: the anti-codon, which is responsible for specific mRNA codon recognition, and the 3' end, to which the tRNAs corresponding amino acid is attached (by aminoacyl-tRNA synthetases). tRNAs cope with the degeneracy of the genetic code in two manners: having more than one tRNA (with a specific anti-codon) for a particular amino acid; and 'wobble' base-pairing, i.e. permitting non-standard base-pairing at the 3rd anti-codon position. Lineage: Bacteria; Pseudomonadati; Planctomycetota. The record is from RNAcentral.